CGUAUGAUGAAUAUUUAUUUGGUCCGUGUUUAUGAACUUUUUUGAUUAAACUUUCAACCAUUACAUCUGAUACAA
Non-coding RNA from Anopheles stephensi (Asian malaria mosquito), 75 nucleotides. The record is from Rfam. NCBI's taxonomy places the organism in Eukaryota, Metazoa, Arthropoda, Insecta, Diptera, Culicidae.